Long non-coding RNA from Mastomys coucha (southern multimammate mouse), 649 nucleotides. RefSeq lists it as uncharacterized. NCBI's taxonomy places the organism in Eukaryota, Metazoa, Chordata, Mammalia, Rodentia, Muridae. The record is from RefSeq and is a predicted model, not a curated record. The transcript has 2 exons.
CAAAUAGGCGGCCCCGGGCAGCCAUUGCAGCGGCAGAGGGUAGUCCGAGUGGCGGCUGAAAGUGGCCGUGAGAUUGAAGAGGCGGAUGCCCGGGCCGUGACUCAGAAGAAAGUUGUUGAGCGGCGACUCCUCGUGCAAGAGCGCCCAGCUCUGGUGCGCCAGGCGCGGCAGGGGCGCGUCCGCCGCACGGAAGUCCGUGCCGUAAAAGAGCAGUGCGCGCGUCCGCGGGUCGGCGCGCGCCCGUCGAUCCCGGGACGCCACGCACGCGCCGUGCGCACACUGUAUCCGCUCCGAGUCACCUGGGAAGUGCGGAAACAGACCUGGGCUCCACCACAGCAACACUGAAGCCUCGGGCCCGGAGCUGCUGGCCGAACAGACGCUGAGCACACCCAGGGCGGCCAGCACCGCCUCGGUGCAGCGAGCAGCCAUGUCCACACCGGACCCACUCGGACAGCACGAAACCCCGCCCUGCGGCGGGUGGGGAGUGGACUAGGUCCUACGCCAUAGGGGCACGGGGCGCAUGCGUAACCCCUCUUAGCCGCAGGCAGGGUGGGGAGAAGUCGCAAGUAAUGAAAGGGAUACUGGUUACAUCUUAUUUUAUUUCUUUACAAAUUAAAGAUGCAUUGAAAAAUAAACCAAUGAAAAGAAA